RNAcentral lists this transfer RNA (75 nucleotides) under Bacteroidota bacterium. RNAcentral's name for it is "tRNA-Val". It matches the Rfam family "tRNA". From Rfam's summary of the family: Transfer RNA (tRNA) molecules are approximately 80 nucleotides in length. Lineage: Bacteria; Pseudomonadati; Bacteroidota. RNAcentral also lists the same sequence under 1 other name. The record is from RNAcentral.
GGGCGUUUAGCUCAGCUGGUUCAGAGCACUACCUCGACAAGGUAGGGGUCACUGGUUCGAAUCCAGUAACGCCCA